UUUACUGUCCGCGUGAGCAUAGCUGCUGUCCAGGGCCAGCCCAGCACAGGCACAGCAGUGGGUGACAGUCCCAGAAGGGGAUCCCCCAGUUGGCCUCAGGGUCUCUGAGUGUACCAGGUCAGCCGGACCCAGAAAGGGCCAAGGAGGGCUGGUCCCUGUUGGUUGCAAACUCCUGAAGCUGCUCUUGACGUGUGGUGGCACCUGGGCUGGAAAUUGGAAAAACACGCGGCUUCGUUUCUGGACCCACAGUCCGCCUCGCUCUUUUACUUUAGAAGGAAUUGCUCCAAGCAGAGUCUGCACAGGUUUCCCCUGUGGCUUUUCUUCAGAGAGCGUGUUGACCCCAGCUAGUGUCACGGUUCUCACACUGUGAUCUCAGGGCCCUUGACAUUCCCCAGGAUUACGGAGGACCUCAGAGAGCUUUCCCUUUUGAAACUCAUUGUUGCAGAGUCCAGACACAAAGUGGAUCUUAGAAGUCUAGAAUGUGAAGCUGACUUUGGGUUGAUCUGGAGGUAGUGAUCCUUGGAAAAUUUGGAAAUAACCUGGCAAAUGUCACCUCGUGAGCUGGCAGCGUUUUGUGACAAAAUGACAAGGCUGUGACAGAAGGGUCCAGACUGACCCCUGCAACACAGCCAGGGAAGUGGGACAGAGAGGGAUGGAUGGCUGUCCUGCAGGAGGCAGCCUGACCUGAGAGCUCCCCUUUAAAAACGUUUGGUGAGGAAGGGCCCCUCUCUGGCUCGCCGUUUGUAGUAAAUGAGCUGGGCUUGUGGGCCUGUCUGUCUGUCUUGCUUGGGAAAGGGGAGGAAGCCCCUCAGCCUGGCUUCCCCAGCCCUUCUGGGAGCCAGCACUGUGGGUGAUUGGGUUUUCCCAGGGUGAGCGUCGGAGCCUGUGGGGCUGGUGCCCUGUGUGUGGGGUCUGGUGGGCCUGUCCACCUCUCAGCGGAGGUGUGGAGCGGCCCCUCAGUGAGGACACGCAGUGGGGGGUUUUCUGCCCCAGCCCAGGAGUGAACGGCGAGGCCAGUGGGAGACAGGAGCGUGCUCCUGCAGCCCAGUGCCUGCACCCAGGGCAGUCAGGGAUGGCGCCUUCCUGGGUCACACACUCCCCACGCUUGUGGGUGGUCCCCGCAAACCCUUGCCUGGCCUCGUGGGCAUAGCAGGAAUGACCCCUGCCUCGCUGAAGCUGCUGCUCUCUGCUUCCUCGGUCUAUUAAUAGGGACCCAAGUCUGAAAAGAAGAAACGCAGGCGGGGCAGAAAAGAGGAGCCCGAAGGUGGUAGCAAGCCAGCGUGUGGGGGAGCUGGCACCCAGGGGCCUGUGCAGGUGGUCAAGGAGGUGGUGGCCGAGGAUGGCACCGUGGUCACCAUUAAGCAGGUGCUCACCGCCCCAGGCUCGGUGGGGCAGCCCCGGUCUGAGGACGAAGACAGCCUUGAGGAGGCCGGCAGCCCCGCACCUGGGCCGUGUCCACGCUCCAACGCCAUGCUGGCUGUGAAGCAUGGGAUGCUCUACGUCUAUGGGGGCAUGUUUGAGGCCGGCGACCGCCAGGUCACCCUCAGCGACCUGCACUGCCUGGACCUGCACAGGAUGGAGGCGUGGAAGGCCUUGGUGGAGAUGGACCCAGGACAUAGCCACCACCGUCCCGCAGCCUCCCCCACCUGCCUCAGCUGCGCUGACGUGUAUGUGUGUUCAUUCUGCUUUUGAAGAAACUCAGGAGUGGCUGGAGGAGACGGACUCGGAAGAGGACAGUGAGGAGGUUGAGGGCGCCGAGGGUGGGGUUGACGACCACGACAGCGGAGAGGAGAGCGGCGCGGGGGACUGAGAAGAGCCCCUGCCAGGGGCGCCUGGCAAGUGCUGUGCCCACGUCCGCCCAGGACCCAGCCGUGUUGAGUGAAGCUCUUGGGGCCAGCGUGCGCCCUGACGCACAGGAGAGAGCUGAAGGUGGGUGGCCCAGGCCAGGGUGUGAACUUUCUCCCAUGGUUUAGUCUCUGACGCGGCGCUGGGCCGGAAGUUCAACUGAGUGCAGUGCAGGUGGAUUCCCUCAGCAGCCUGUGUGUUGUGUGAAAUAAAUUGGACUUGAAAC
RNAcentral lists this small RNA (2071 nucleotides) under Pan troglodytes (chimpanzee). RNAcentral describes it as "retained intron". The record is from RNAcentral. Lineage: Eukaryota; Metazoa; Chordata; Mammalia; Primates; Hominidae.